ACUCGUCACACCCAUUAUAAAACACCUCUCUUCUUCAUCUUCUUCUUCAAUUUAUAUAGUCCAACCCCAAAAAUCUCCUUAGCAAAAUACAAAUCCCUUGGGAGUUUAGGAUGAUUUGCACGUCCAUGCUUCUAAGUCUUCUUCUUUGGUACAUGAAGAUACAGCAAUGCCUCCUUCAACCCUUGAAUUUCCCAAAAUUCAACUCUAAUUCUGCCAUGAAGAACACCACCACCAAUGAUACCAACAAUUUCAACAUCACCUGGCACUCUCAAAAAGCUGACAACAAUGACCACCACUCCUUCAUGGUACCUAGAAUGAUGUGCUCCAUCUUACCUAGAAAGCUCUUCUCAACAGAAGAGAACAUAAAUUUUCUUAGAUACCAACUCAAGAAGUACAUAAGAUGUUUUACUCCUAGUGGUGACAUCCUCUUCGAGUACCAUGGGGCUCUUAAACAUGGACGAUUCUCAUAGCCAAGAUUGGAAUUUUGGUUCCCUUUGUUGCGGUGGACUAGACACUUUACUACAAGAAUAAACCUCAAUUGGUCAUUCAGCUGUCCCUAGCCGAUCGCCCUGGCCAGCCCUGCCCUGGCCCUAGUUGAUUGGACAAGCUGACUUCGUCCAAUCCAGCCCACUCCGUUUAUUGGUAGUGAUGAAAAAUUGUGUGGUAUGGCUAUGGAGUUCACAUUGCCAACUUCUUGCACUAUCUCUGGUGCUGGGCUUGUUAACUUCUCAAAGACACACCGAUUUUUCGCCUUCCAAGUGUUCUAACACAACGACGCAAUGAAGAGGAUCUUUUGUCUACCAUCGAUUUAAGCCGCUGCCUAAGAUAAGCCUCGUUGCUACCAAUUGGGAAAGGUCUCCUUCUCUCUGUCAUAGCAUGCAUCUUGAGCAAGUGGCAGGGGUGGAUGAAAACCAGCUAUGGAUUUGUUGCAACACAGAAAGCUUUUCAUGAAGACUUCCACAAAAAAAAAAUCUUAAUUUUAUGAGGUAAUUUCAAUUUUCAAAUGCUAUUUGAUACUCUGUUAUUUUGUAUAUUCUGAAGUCUCAGUGAAGUAGGAGAAUGAAAGAACUCAUAAGCAAUCUUCUAUCUUGACCCAACUUCGUAUAUACCGGAUUUUGUCCAGCACCAAUUAACUUCAUCCUCCUCUUUUGAUGGUUUGAUUGAAAAAAAUUUAUUGCAUAUAUUAACUGGAAAAAUUGACUCAAUUAGAUUUCUGUUCUAGCUUUUAUUAGGAUUUAGCAGCACACUAAC
Arachis stenosperma is the source of this 1251-nucleotide RNA transcript. RefSeq lists it as uncharacterized. The transcript has 7 exons. The record is from RefSeq and is a predicted model, not a curated record. NCBI's taxonomy places the organism in Eukaryota, Viridiplantae, Streptophyta, Magnoliopsida, Fabales, Fabaceae.